GGAAUAUUGGACAAUGGGCGAAAGCCUGAUCCAGCAAUGCCGCGUGAGUGAUGAAGGCCUUAGGGUUGUAAAGCUCUUUUACCCGGGAUGAUAAUGACAGUACCGGGAGAAUAAGCUCCGGCUAACUCCGUGCCAGCAGCCGCGGUAAUACGGAGGGAGCUAGCGUUAUUCGGAAUUACUGGGCGUAAAGCGCACGUAGGCGGCUUUGUAAGUAAGAGGUGAAAGCCCAGAGCUCAACUCUGGAAUUGCCUUUUAGACUGCAUCGCUUGAAUCAUGGAGAGGUCAGUGGAAUUCCGAGUGUAGAGGUGAAAUUCGUAGAUAUUCGGAAGAACACCAGUGGCGAAGGCGGCUGACUGGACAUGUAUUGACGCUGAGGUGCGAAAGCGUGGGGAGCAAACAGGAUUAGAUACCCGGG
This 415-nucleotide ribosomal RNA is filed under the name uncultured Sphingomonas sp. Its description in RNAcentral is "bacterial SSU rRNA". It matches the Rfam family "Bacterial small subunit ribosomal RNA", at positions 358 to 790 of the family's 1533-position model. The record is from RNAcentral. Lineage: Bacteria; Pseudomonadati; Pseudomonadota; Alphaproteobacteria; Sphingomonadales; Sphingomonadaceae.